AGAAUUUAUAAAACAGAUUGAAACGACAGGAAAUCUGUUCAUGUAGAAAGCAAAAACAAGAAAAGGAAAUAAUAAAACUAUUAAGUAAAAGAGGCACUUUUAAUCAAACAUCCUAUAAUUUUUCACUGGCUUUAAAACAAAAUUCAAUAUAACACUGCCUCCAAAAUGUACUGGCUCAACCUGCUCGUAGUACUGUUUUAUUUUUCAUUUUGUUCUGAUUAAUGUCUAUAUCCAUGAAUUCUGUAUAUCUUUGUAUUGUUAAUGUGAUUGAACAAUGGUUUCUAUGGAAGAUUUACUGCGGGAGAUAAUUUGAUCGUUACAGCUUCAAUGCUGGCACUUAGAGUGACGUUCAUAUAAUUUUGUUUUAUUUUUUUCUGGGCAUGAGCUGAGUAUCCAUGGCUUCAAAGUUAUCAGUCCCCUUAUGAUAGACAAGCUAUACGGAUUCUGAUGUCUUGAAGAGUCUAUUUACAGCUAACAGACGGCUUGCUAUUCGACAACCUUACUUUUUUUGCACAUGGCCAAGCUAUUUUAAGUUCAGGUGCUGAAGUUUGAGAUAAGAAUUAAACUAUGCCAUGCUAAACGAGAUAUUCACACAAAGACGAAGGAAUCUUCCUAUUUGUUGAUGUGUAACACCUUGAAUAGCCUCAGAUUUGAUAUUUGCUAAUUUAAGUGGUGGGAAUUAUUUGAUAGCUCCAAUUAGGGUUCCUGAAUGACUCCUUUGACUGUUUGUUCUUCUGCAAUAUGCAUGUCUCACCAAACGGUCUCUGUAUGAAGUCUGUAUGCGCACGCUGGAGUGAGAAGGACAUAUAAGUUUUCUUUCUUUGUGUUAUUCAGUUAUUUUUAGAUUACUAAUUUAUGCGGUAAAGUAGAAUGAUUAAGAAUUUCAAUGGUUGAAUUAGUUUACAUUUCUUUAAAAAAAUAUGGGGUUUGCUUGUUUUUAGCAAUGGUCAGAUUAGAUUCAGAGAAGUGUUGGAAUUGAAAACCCUAGGCUGCGUUGGCAAGAAUUUCAUAAUUGAGGCAACCCCAGAAACAUGUGACAAGUGUCUAUCUUUGAACCAAUCGUGAUUGUUUAGUCAUAUUUGCUUUUGUUUCAAAUCAUUUAACUGGACACAUAUCGCUUUCAGAAAAAAAGAAAGUCAUUUUGAGAUAAUAAAAUUACAAAAACUUCAAUUUAUAUUGUUUAGAUAUGAACUCUUUCACUUUCAUAUACUGUUUAUGUUAAGUUUGAAUUGCCUAUUGAUUAAAUUAACUUGAAAGUUGAAUCAAUCCCACUUUGAUAGAUGAAAAUAGGAGAUUCAAAGAGCUUUUAAAAAAAUUCCAUAUUAUAUCAUUAUCUAAAGGCAACAUGACUAUUUCGCAUCCAAAGUUUAAUGGAAUAAUAUAUUCUCACCCUUUGAGUUUGAAAAUCAAUUUUCCACUGUAUGUGAAGGUCAAUUAUUAGUUUGAAUGAUUAAAGGAUAUUUAUGUUAUUUUGUCAUAAUUUCAAAACAUG
This is a long non-coding RNA of Mangifera indica (mango), 1492 nucleotides long. RefSeq lists it as uncharacterized. The record is from RefSeq and is a predicted model, not a curated record. The transcript is spliced from 3 exons. NCBI's taxonomy places the organism in Eukaryota, Viridiplantae, Streptophyta, Magnoliopsida, Sapindales, Anacardiaceae.